CAGCCGCCGCGGGAAUACGUGGGGUGCAAGCGUUAAUCGGAAUUACUGGGCGUAAAGCGUGCGCAGGCGGUUAUAUAAGACAGAUGUGAAAUCCCCGGGCUCAACCUGGGAACUGCAUUUGUGACUGUAUAGCUAGAGUACGGCAGAGGGGGAUGGAAUUCCGCGUGUAGCAGUGAAAUGCGUAGAUAUGCGGAGGAACACCGAUGGCGAAGGCAAUCCCCUGGGCCUGUACUGACGCUCAUGCACGAAAGCGUGGGGAGCAAACAGGAUUAGAUACCCCCGUAGUCCCUGUCUCUUAUAA
This 301-nucleotide ribosomal RNA is filed under the name uncultured bacterium. RNAcentral's name for it is "partial 16S ribosomal RNA". It matches the Rfam family "Bacterial small subunit ribosomal RNA", at positions 509 to 809 of the family's 1533-position model. The record is from RNAcentral.